This 541-nucleotide long non-coding RNA is filed under the name Equus caballus (horse). RNAcentral's name for it is "lncRNA (ENSECAG00000059932.1)". Lineage: Eukaryota; Metazoa; Chordata; Mammalia; Perissodactyla; Equidae. The record is from RNAcentral.
CAAGAAAUAAAUAGUCCUCAGUCUUGAGUAGAAGAAGUCAAGUAGAAUGAAGAUUCCCGCUGGUUUGGCAACUGGAAGUCAUUGGCUGUCAUUGAGGCAACUUCAUGUACUGCUUGUGAUGCAUGACUCCCGACACACAGACCGAGUGAAGGAGCCAACAUCGAUUCAUGUGCUUGAACUUCUUAGGAUGGAGACCCUGGGUCCUUCACUCGGCAUUCCACCCUCAGACCGGCCUGCGUGUCAAUAUCUUUCUGCAACCGGGUUGUCUGGACCAAGGAGAACUUUGCGAAGAUCUCCAGGAGCUUAAUUGCUGUGUCACUCUGUUCCCCUUUUCUGUCUGUUAUAUUUAGGCAGCCUUCAAUCCACCAAUAAUCCUAGUUGCAUGAUUUUAUAUCAAACCAUUUUUCAAGUUAUUCUCAUUUUUUCCCUGUAAAUCUAAGCAUUACUGUGUAAUGAGUAUUAUCUUUGUUAGCAGGUGAGAGACUUCCCUCUACUGGGCAGAUACACAACUGCUGCCCACGCUUAGAAUGAAGAAUACUAG